CAGUGGGACCAUAUGCUAAUAGUAUAGUAAGCAACUAUUGUAUGAAUUGGCUAUUAGAUUGGCUAUAGAUGAAUUGGAGCUAAUAGUUGGCUAUACUAUUAACCUUUAUCUUAAAAGACAAGCUUUGCAGCCGCCGGUGCAGUGUCACUGUGUCAGUCAAGAUGGGCAGCUACUUGCCGUGCGCCGCCACGUCGCUGCACCUGCUGCUGCUGCUCGCGUCGUCGGAGGCCGCGGCGGCGGCGGCGGCCGCGUCGGCCUCCCUCUCCGCCGGCGGCCACCGGCGCUACCACUCCAUCUUCAACUUCGGCGACUCCUUCGCCGACACCGGCAACAAGCCGGUGGCCUACGCGUGGUACCCCCUCCCCUCCAACGUCAUGCGUCCUCCCUACGGCGAGACCUUCUUCGGCCACCCCACCGGCCGCAGCAGCGACGGCCGGCUCAUCCUCGACCUCAUCGCUGCCGGCCUCGGUCUGCCGUUCGUGCCGCCGUACCUGGCUCACGGCGGCAGCUUCGGCGGCGGCGCCAACUUCGCCGUCGCCGGCGCCACCGCGCUGGACGCCGGCUUCUUCCACGACAGGGACAUCCCCGGCGCCGGCAGCAAGUUCCCCCUCAACACCAGCCUCGACGUGCAGCUCGCGUGGUUCGAGUCGCUGAUGCCCUCGCUGUGCGGCACGGCCCAAGAGGCUGAUGAAGCACGGGGCGAAGAGCAUCGUGGUCCCCGGGAUGAUCCCGUCAGGCUGCUCGCCGCCGGCGCUGACGUCGUUCUACGGCCGCGCCGGCCCGGCGGACUACGACGCGCGGACGGGGUGCCUGAGAGGGAUCAACGAGCUAGCGUCCCACCACAACUCGCUGCUGCAAGACGCGCUGCACGAGCUCCGGUGUUGCCAAUAUGAUUCAGAAUAUCGAUCAAGUUUGAUCGAUCGAUCGGUGUGAUGGUGGCCAAAAAAAAAAAUUGAGAAUAUAUAAUUUCUUUUAAAAAUUUGUAUUCAUAUCGGAGAGAUUAAAGGGGACCGCGAAAUGGAGCCACCACAGCGCUCCGGGGCUUUUUUGGCUGGCGUGUUCGCUUCCGGUGAUAUCCACGUCGCCCGGCGCUGGAGGUGGCGUUUUGCAAAAAAGUCCUCUAUCUAUAUAAUAAUAGCUAUUAGAUCCCUCAUUGUAUGGCCAAGACCAGCGCGAUUCUAAAUAUAGGGCCGCGGUCUAAGAAAAAAGAAACUCAUGGGUUUUUUCGGAAAAAGAAAACAUCCCUAUCCCUUCCCUUCGCUGAAAUCGGCGCUAGAGGUGGCGUUUUGCAAAAAAAUCCUCUAUCUAUAUAAUAAUAACUGUUAGAUCCCUCAUUGUAUGGUCAAGACCAGCGCGAAGGAGGUAAGAUUCUAAAUAUAGGGCCGUGCUCUGAAAAAAAAAGAAAGCCAUGGGUUUUUUCGCAAAAAUAAAACAUCCCUAUCCCCUCCCUUCGCCGAAAUCCUAGCCGUCACUGUUCACCCUUCCUCGCUUCUCCUCGCCGCAAUCGUCUUCCGCGGGUGGCAUCGCUCACGCUGUCCCCCGCCCAUCUCCGCCUUUCUUCCUCCGCCCAUCCCCGCCGCCGUCACCCAGCCACCUUUUCCCUCCUUUCUUCCUCCAUGAUUACAGUCGACCAGGUGAUUGGACGGUGCGGCGCCAAAUCAAUGGUGUGGGGGAUCGAUGUUCUGGUCUUGAUUCCUUUUCUCUCUUAUCUUCCCUCCUUUCUUGCUGAUGGCAUGCCAAAUCGAUGGUGUGGGGAUCGAUCGAUGUUCUGGUCUCGAUUUGCUGGUUCCCCUUCUGUUCAAGCUCGAGUCUUUGCCAUCGUGCGGCACCAAGCUCCGCCGUUCUGCGCCGCCAGCGCUGUUUGCCGAUUACAGAUAUGAUGAUAUUGGUUGGCUUCCCAUAUUCACUUUUGAUGCAAAGACAUUUCAGUGCCUUUUAAGAGAUUACCAACAGACUGAGAUGACUAUUUCAAAGCAGGACAUGCAACAGCGAUGUUGUUCACGCAUGGAACAGCUUUUAGUAGGGAAAUUUGAGCGUGUCUACCCUUUAUACCUGAACAACAUUAUUUUCACAGCGAGUAGGUGUAAAAAGGGAUUUGUAAUAUAUGGACUUAUGUCUGCCA
Molecule: non-coding RNA, 2122 nt
Organism: Oryza sativa Japonica Group (Japanese rice)
Lineage: Eukaryota; Viridiplantae; Streptophyta; Magnoliopsida; Poales; Poaceae
Source: RefSeq, a predicted model, not a curated record